This 82-nucleotide transfer RNA is filed under the name Neomoorella thermoacetica. RNAcentral's name for it is "Moorella thermoacetica tRNA". It matches the Rfam family "tRNA". From Rfam's summary of the family: Transfer RNA (tRNA) molecules are approximately 80 nucleotides in length. Their secondary structure includes four short double-helical elements and three loops (D, anti-codon, and T loops). Further hydrogen bonds mediate the characteristic L-shaped molecular structure. tRNAs have two regions of fundamental functional importance: the anti-codon, which is responsible for specific mRNA codon recognition, and the 3' end, to which the tRNAs corresponding amino acid is attached (by aminoacyl-tRNA synthetases). tRNAs cope with the degeneracy of the genetic code in two manners: having more than one tRNA (with a specific anti-codon) for a particular amino acid; and 'wobble' base-pairing, i.e. permitting non-standard base-pairing at the 3rd anti-codon position. Lineage: Bacteria; Bacillati; Bacillota; Clostridia; Neomoorellales; Neomoorellaceae. The record is from Rfam by way of RNAcentral.
GCGGGCGUGGCGGAAUGGCAGACGCGCCAGACUUAGGAUCUGGUGGGGUUAACCCGUGGAGGUUCAAGUCCUCUCGCCCGCA